Molecule: long non-coding RNA, 1056 nt
Filed under: Oryctolagus cuniculus (rabbit)
Lineage: Eukaryota; Metazoa; Chordata; Mammalia; Lagomorpha; Leporidae
Description: lncRNA (ENSOCUG00000034002.1)
Source: RNAcentral
AUGUUGGUCCAGACAGCGCGUCCCGGACAGCGGGUGACCCUGCAGGGACUUCACGGUGCCUCGCUGCCCCAGCAAACUCCCAGACCCACCCCCAAGCCCCAGGAGCGCCCUCCUUCAUGGCAACCCCACAGGCACCAAAAAGAAAGGGACCCCGGGUCCCGCCCGGCGUCCCGGAACACUUCCGGUGGACUCUGGCCCACGUCAGGGAGCUGGCAACCGGCGCGCUCCUGGGAGCAGGCCGGCUACUCCAGCAGACGCCGGCGCGCUCUGCCCGAAUCCAGCCCGCCCGGCACGCACGCUCUCCGGCGCACGGCCCGCGCAGGCACCUGCCGCCCGGGUUCGGUCUCCGGCCGGCCACGACGCGACAGGCCGCGUCCCAGGGGUCCGCAAACCCUCCCUCUGCGGGGGCCCCCACGCCGGCGGACGUCACGGGCACGCCGGACACAAGUCACCAGCGUCCCCAAGUCGGCCCAGCCACCUGCAGGAGCGCCAGGUGAGGUCAAAGGCGGGGCAGCUCCCCGAAGAUCAGAGCCCCGGCCGCUGUCGGUCACCCCGCAAACGCACCCCACCGCUCCAGAGGCCCGGCCGGGGGCCAGGGGUGGCCAGCGGCUCCCACAUGUGACCUCCGGAACACAACGUUCGGACCCCCGCCCCGCCGCACGCCGCACGGAGAGGCCACCGCGCAGCGGCUCCGCGAGCCCGCCCCGCCGGACACUCCCCCGGGUGUCCCGCCGCCACUCCCCUGCGGCCCCCCGAGUCGCCCGAGCGCCGGCACCGGCGCGGCCCCGCCGCCCCCACGCGGUCCGCGCCCCCCUCACGCGCUGGCCACGCGGGCACGCCCCGCCGCCGCCGCCGGAGGAACCACGCGCGCGGCUGUGGCCGUGUCCACGCCGCCCGCCCCGGGUGUCGGGGACGCGGGGCGCGCGAGCACCAGCGGGCGCAGCCACACAGGUGGCUCCUGACCCGGCGCCCGCGCGGCCCGGGCGCUGCCAGAAACGCCACAGGCAUGGCGACCUCUGCGGGAGAGGGGUGCGGGCCGCACGUCAAGGCCGGGGG